Molecule: long non-coding RNA, 336 nt
Filed under: Mytilus galloprovincialis (Mediterranean mussel)
Lineage: Eukaryota; Metazoa; Mollusca; Bivalvia; Mytilida; Mytilidae
Source: RNAcentral
UUUCGUUGUUUUCCUCUUAUAGUUGAUGUGUUUACCUCAGUUUUAGUUUGUAACCCGGAUUUGUUUUCUCUCGCUCGAUUUAUGUUUUUCGAACAGCGGUAUACUACUGUUGCCUUUAUUCAACUUCAGUAAAUAAUUUGGUGUCAUCUCGAGCAGCUUAACCUCAUAAUUAUACAAAUUUAUUCCAAUCCAAAUGAAUUCAAUUACUGUUUUAUUUGUUACCAAUGGUGAUAACCUGAAAUGUUUCUGGAUUUGUUAUCUUUUUUUGUAAUAACAAACCAAUAAAUCAAAACUGUCAUUCGUUUUACAAAUGCUAGUAUAUAACUUAUAAUCCGU